CAUUUAAUCUCUAAUUCAAUAGGCUAUAAACAAGACAAACACAGAUAUAGGAUAAGUUGCUCGCAGUAACAUAUUAUUUUCUCUUGCGAUACAAUUUUUAUUUUUCUUUAUGUACAUAUUUCUUCGAUUGAAACAAUAUAUAAACACAUGACAUAUAACAUUGUUCCUCUUUCGCAUCGUUUUCUUUUCCCCGGCUAAUAUCU
Molecule: long non-coding RNA, 203 nt
Filed under: Mytilus galloprovincialis (Mediterranean mussel)
Lineage: Eukaryota; Metazoa; Mollusca; Bivalvia; Mytilida; Mytilidae
Source: RNAcentral